CGCUGAACUUAAGCAUAUCAAUAAGCGGAGGAAAA
This 35-nucleotide ribosomal RNA is filed under the name Stagonosporopsis cucurbitacearum. RNAcentral describes it as "partial 28S ribosomal RNA". Lineage: Eukaryota; Fungi; Ascomycota; Dothideomycetes; Pleosporales; Didymellaceae. The record is from RNAcentral.